GGGGUGCCUACGGCGGCCGGCAGGGAGCGCGGAGCUUCGCGCGGAGCCGCCUUCCGCGCUUCCUCCUGGCCGGGCGGGGCGGGACGGGACGCAGCAAGCGGUGCAGGGGUGCCGCCCCGGCAACUGCCCGGGUCUGUAACACACGAUGGCCUUAGGGGAAGCUCAGUGGAGCAGAACCGUAUUUUAACCGACAGAACUACGUUGUAAUCGAUGAACUCUUAGGAUACCGAUCCAUCGUUCUGAAUGAACGGAGAACCGUGCGCCACGGGACUCGGCCGCAGAGCAGCGUGCGGAUUCACUCGCGCUUGGUCUGGCCUGCCGCGAUGCCCGUACAAGCACCGCAAACUCACAACGCCACUUCAGAGUGCAAAAGUCUACAUCCGUACACAGAGCACGGGCUGGCAGGGCAGGCCGAACUGCCCCCGUGUGACAAACAGCUCAGUUUUCCAUGGACAAAAAGCCAGCAAAUGUAUAAGUGCUUCCAAGUGCCUCUACGUACUAGCCCAGAGAAUGAACCUACGAAGGUGGUGGCAAUACAGACCAUGGCUCACCCAGCACAACUUGAGGCUAUAGAUGAGGACUCCAUACACUGAGCUGCAAGAAGCUUAAAGCAAUUAAAUCAAACCAAUCUGGAACACAUUUUGGCCAUUCAGAAGGCGCAUCUCUGCUGAUCUGAAAGUCUUUGCUUUUGUAUGAUGGUCAGGUCACACUAAGAUUUAAGCUGCAAAUGGGACAGCAACCACAAGACUGCUUAUGGAUCACAUUCCAGCUCUUCAGCUGUUAAUUGUCUCGCUGCAGUACUAACAAUAAAAAUCCAGCUUCCAGCCAUACAAUCAGGAUUGUGCAAAGGCAAAUGUUCACAUACAGUUCAGAUAUAUCCUUCUCAGAGAAGACGUAUUUAGCUAUAACAUGCAGGGAAUGCGGACUUAAAAAUUAAGCAGGGGAAGAGAGAGCCCUGGGCUGCUUCAGUCUAACACCUUUGAAAGGGAGUGUUCUGCACAGUGUUUGUAGUUUGCUCUUGGUUUUUUCCCCAUGUGCUAUGUUUCUACAUUGUGUUGUAUACCUAGCAUCCAUCACAUCACAACUCCAAGCCCUGAAGCACAGCUACAGUCACCACUAUGGAAAUGGGGAACAGCUGGACAAAACCAGGGAGCUGUGUGCAAACCAAAGCACAUAUAUCAGCUAAAAAGAAUCACUUCUGAGUUUCCUUCAGUUAUCCACAGUACCAUUCUCCUUAUUUCAGCCCCAAACUUCCUUCCCUGCUUCCAAUUUGACUAAAUAACACUAGGAAUUUUAUUCUGUUUCAAGAAGGGCACAGGAAGGCAGCUCCCACCUCACAGAGAUACUGUAAACAACAAAUACAUAAACUGUUCAUGCUUCAUCUACUGGCCUGCAGUACACAUCCUGCAACCCUUUUGUAGCAAGAGUAAAGGCUGUAUGAACAGCACUUGGCAUCAUACCCUAUGCGUUUUAACAUGCAGAUGACAUUUAGCUUAUGCCUACGCCCACAAGACCUGCAGAAGCUUGCAGCUCCCCCUACUACCUUCACCAUGCUGCAGGAGAACAGGGUACAACCCUAAGACCUGCUCUGCUAUGGAGCAAGGGAAGCUUACAUACCCUGAUGGAAGCUUCAUACAUCCUAUAUCUCACUCAGGGCUGGAAGAGGGGGAUUGUUUUGAAAACCACGUAGGCCGUGCUGCUUAAUGCUCUACCCCAAAUGCUGUCCUGUAGAAUUCUCAUCUGUGUCACUCAUGGACAACCAGAACCCCCAAGGGCCAGGAUAUGCACAGAAGAGUGUAAGGUCUGGGGAAAAAAAAAAAGCUUAUUUUCAUCAUCCCAGCCCCUUGAGAUGAAGAAUCAAAAUAAACUUCUGUUUUAUGUACUUCCUACAUUUGGCACACACAGCCCAACCAUGAAGCUGUCCUUAAGUCUGCAAGCCCUCAGGCAGAAAAAAGGACUGGACACAGCUGUUGCUGAUUCACAUUGCUAGAAAGCCAGAGCAGAG
Long non-coding RNA from Gallus gallus (chicken), 2005 nucleotides. RefSeq lists it as uncharacterized. The record is from RefSeq and is a predicted model, not a curated record. Lineage: Eukaryota; Metazoa; Chordata; Aves; Galliformes; Phasianidae. The transcript is spliced from 2 exons.